GACGAACGCUGGCGGCGUGCUUAACACAUGCAAGUCGAACGGAAAGGCCCUGCUUUUGUGGGGUGCUCGAGUGGCGAACGGGUGAGUAACACGAGAGUAACCUGCCCUUGACUUUGGGAUAACUUCCGGAAACUGGGGCUAAUACCGGAUAGGAGCACCUGCUGCAUGGUGGGGGUUGGAAAGUUUCGGCGGUUGGGGAUGGACUCGCGGCGUAUCAGCUUGUUGGUGGGGUAGUGGCUUACCAAGGCUUUGACGGGUAGCCGGCCUGAGAGGGUGACCGGCCACAUUGGGACUGAGAUACGGCCCAGACUCCUACGGGAGGCAGCAGUGGGGAAUAUUGCACAAUGGGCGGAAGCCUGAUGCAGCAACGCCGCGUGCGGGAUGACGGCCUUCGGGUUGUAAACCGCUUUCGCCUGUGACGAAGCGUGAGUGACGGUAAUGGGUAAAGAAGCACCGGCUAACUACGUG
Molecule: ribosomal RNA, 468 nt
Filed under: uncultured bacterium
Lineage: Bacteria
Description: partial 16S ribosomal RNA
Rfam family: Bacterial small subunit ribosomal RNA
Source: RNAcentral